CUACGGGGGGCUGCAGUGGGGAAUUUUGGACAAUGGGCGAAAGCCUGAUCCAGCCAUUCCGCGUGAGUGAUGAAGGCCUUCGGGUUGUAAAGCUCUUUCGGCCGGGAAGAAAUCGUGCAGGCUAAUAUCCUGCAUGGAUGACGGUACCGGAUCAAGAAGCACCGGCUAACUACGUGCCAGCAGCCGCGGUAAUACGUAGGGUGCGAGCGUUAAUCGGAAUUACUGGGCGUAAAGCGUGCGCAGGCGGAUGUUUAAGCCAGAUGUGAAAUCCCCGGGCUUAACCUGGGAAUGGCAUUUGGAACUGGACAUCUAGAGUGUGUCAGAGGGGGGUGGAAUUCCACGUGUAGCAGUGAAAUGCGUAGAGAUGUGGAGGAACACCGAUGGCGAAGGCAGCCCCCUGGGAUAACACUGACGCUCAUGCACGAAAGCGUGGGGAGCAAACAGGAUUAGAUACCCCUGUAGUC
This 464-nucleotide ribosomal RNA is filed under the name uncultured bacterium. Its description in RNAcentral is "partial 16S ribosomal RNA". It matches the Rfam family "Bacterial small subunit ribosomal RNA", at positions 339 to 795 of the family's 1533-position model. The record is from RNAcentral.